GCACGGAUGGCCGAGUGGUCUAAGGCGCCAGACUCAAGCAAACGAUACGUAUGCUUCACGCGAGUACAAGUGUGUGACUUUGGGGUGUUCUGGUAUCGUGAUCGAUGCGUGGGUUCGAAUCCCACUCCGUGCA
Wuchereria bancrofti is the source of this 133-nucleotide non-coding RNA. NCBI's taxonomy places the organism in Eukaryota, Metazoa, Nematoda, Chromadorea, Rhabditida, Onchocercidae. The record is from Rfam.